GACUAGGCGAAAGCUGAUCAUCCAUUCCGCGUGAGUGAAGAAGGCCUUCGGGUUGUAAAGCUCUUUCGGCGGGGAAGAAAUCGCGCUUGUUAAUACCUUGCGUGGAUGACGGUACCUGAAGAAGAAGCACCGGCUAACUACGUGCCAGCAGCCGCGGUAAUACGUAGGGUGCGAGCGUUAAUCGGAAUUACUGGGCGUAAAGCGUGCGCAGGCGGUUUUGUAAGACAGCUGUGAAAUCCCCGGGCUCAACCUGGGAACUGCGGUUGUGACUGCAAGGCUAGAGUACGGCAGAGGGGGGUGGAAUUCCACGUGUAGCAGUGAAAUGCGUAGAUAUGUGGAGGAACACCAAUGGCGAAGGCAGCCCCCUGGGUCGAUACUGACGCUCAUGCACGAAAGCGUGGGGAGCAAACAGGAUUAGAUACCCUGGUAGUCCACGCCCUAAACGAUGCCAACUAGGUGUUGGGGAAGGAGACUUCCUUAGUACCGAAGCUAACGCGUGAAGUUGGCCGCCUGNGGAGUACGGUCGCAAGAUUAAAACUCAAAGGAAUUGACGGGGACCCGCACAAGCGGUGGAUGAUGUGGAUUAAUUCGAUGCAACGCGAAAAACCUUA
This 611-nucleotide ribosomal RNA is filed under the name uncultured bacterium. RNAcentral describes it as "bacterial SSU rRNA". It matches the Rfam family "Bacterial small subunit ribosomal RNA", at positions 367 to 973 of the family's 1533-position model. The record is from RNAcentral.